Rhincodon typus (whale shark) is the source of this 81-nucleotide non-coding RNA. Lineage: Eukaryota; Metazoa; Chordata; Chondrichthyes; Orectolobiformes; Rhincodontidae. The record is from the annotation of a RefSeq genome assembly.
GUCGUCAUGGCCGAGUGGUUAAGGCGAUGGAUUUGAAAUCCACUGGGUAUUUCUGUGUAGGUUUGAAUCCUACUGACUACG